UUAGGUACAUUAGGUAGUAGUGUAAACAAAAUUUGCAGGCUAGAAGAAUAUGCAUUGAGGUUUUUGGGGACUGUUAGGGAAGAAAUGGCGUAUCUCCCAUGGCUGAGACACUCGUACGUUUGUCCGGAGAUGUAUCUCCUGAUUUGCUCUGUAUUGUUUUUGGAGAUACAUCUCCGGAUUGGACUCAUAAAAAUGGGUGAACUUAUUUGGACAUGUUAU
Molecule: long non-coding RNA, 219 nt
Filed under: Lathyrus oleraceus (garden pea)
Lineage: Eukaryota; Viridiplantae; Streptophyta; Magnoliopsida; Fabales; Fabaceae
Description: Pisum sativum (pea) long non-coding RNA (PSAT_LNC019588)
Source: RNAcentral